Long non-coding RNA from Sitodiplosis mosellana (orange wheat blossom midge), 766 nucleotides. RefSeq lists it as uncharacterized. The transcript has 4 exons. NCBI's taxonomy places the organism in Eukaryota, Metazoa, Arthropoda, Insecta, Diptera, Cecidomyiidae. The record is from RefSeq and is a predicted model, not a curated record.
UAAAAUAUAAAUUAAGAUUCGUUUAUAUUUUUGCAAUAUUUUGGAAAUUUUCAAUUUUUUCUUUUUCUUCUUCUUCGUAUUUGAAUAGUCUGGGAGGACACCAGCCAUACGUUCCAGUUGUAUUACAUAACGACAAACCAAAGAACCUGAACAGCGCUAAUGCGCCAGGAAACUCAUGUAACAGUCAGAAUAUUUGUGGUAUACAAAACGAUUGGAAACAAAGAGCUCGGGUACUUUGCUCAUAUGACGCAACGGACAGUACUGAGCUUAAUCUCAGCGCUAAUGAGAUCAUAUUUGUGACGGAAUUAAAUCCCCUCAAUUCUGAUUAUAUGUAUGGAAAACAAGGCCUGAUAAAUGGCUUAGUACCAAAAGCAUUCUUGGAACUUUUGGAAGAAUAAUUUUCUUGUGGUUCACAUAUUCUUAAAAUACGCAUAGUUAAGCAGGGGGAUUACAGAUUGACAGUUGAGCUGCAUGAUAUAUACUGAAUGAAUAGUUCUGCAGCUUGCCGUAUAUGAUAUUGUAGGGCAAACUGCGGCGCUAGUGUGCUUGUGUUUCAAUCUACAAACCCCCUGUAGUUAAGAUAUUCAUUAGAUAACUACUAUGUAUAAAAUCGUAUUGUUGAUUUUUAAAUAACGAUACAAAUAAAACAGCCAUGAAAUGUUUAGAAAAAUUCAUAUUAUUUAUGUCUGUUUGAAGUUCUACGCGUGGUUUUAAUUUUGAAGCCGUCUGUAUCUCCAAAAUAGCAACAGACUUCUUUUAGAAUCAU